GGCAACGUGGCUGAGUGGUUAAAGCGUAUGACUAGAAUUCUAGUGCCAUCAUAUCCCUUCGGGGUCGUAGGUUCAAAUCCUGCCGUUGUCG
Molecule: transfer RNA, 91 nt
Filed under: Xylaria sp. FL0933
Lineage: Eukaryota; Fungi; Ascomycota; Sordariomycetes; Xylariales; Xylariaceae
Also listed under: 1 other name
Description: tRNA-Ser
Rfam family: tRNA
About the family: Transfer RNA (tRNA) molecules are approximately 80 nucleotides in length. Their secondary structure includes four short double-helical elements and three loops (D, anti-codon, and T loops). Further hydrogen bonds mediate the characteristic L-shaped molecular structure. tRNAs have two regions of fundamental functional importance: the anti-codon, which is responsible for specific mRNA codon recognition, and the 3' end, to which the tRNAs corresponding amino acid is attached (by aminoacyl-tRNA synthetases). tRNAs cope with the degeneracy of the genetic code in two manners: having more than one tRNA (with a specific anti-codon) for a particular amino acid; and 'wobble' base-pairing, i.e. permitting non-standard base-pairing at the 3rd anti-codon position.
Source: RNAcentral